GGAUGUGAGGGCAAUCUGGCUGUGACAUCUGUCACCUCAUUGAUUGUCAGGGUUGAUUCCGCUGAUCUGGAUGGCUAGGCGGGUGUCCUCUUCCUCCCUCAUUGCUCCAUGUGCAGCCUUCACAGAGCUGCACACUCAGCCGAAGAGAACCAGUCUUGAUAGAGAGGACCAGUCUUUGGUCAAGACCAUGGGAGUAGCUGCAACUCCACUGUUAGAAUCUCCAAACAAGCUCUCAAGAUUGCAAUUUAUUAAAUAAUCUAUUCAUUCAUUUUUUAUUAUUUUAAAACCAUUUAUAUUGAAAUAAUUAUAGGGAUAAUCAGGUUUGCUAA
This 329-nucleotide small nuclear RNA is filed under the name Saimiri boliviensis boliviensis (Bolivian squirrel monkey). RNAcentral describes it as "7SK RNA (ENSSBOG00000008861.1)". It matches the Rfam family "7SK RNA". Rfam says of the family: 7SK was discovered as an abundant small nuclear RNA in the mid-70s but a possible function has only recently been suggested. Two independent studies have found that 7SK RNA binds the CDK9/cyclin T complex (known as elongation factor P-TEFb). P-TEFb activates transcription by phosphorylating the C-terminal domain of RNA polymerase II. The record is from RNAcentral. Lineage: Eukaryota; Metazoa; Chordata; Mammalia; Primates; Cebidae.